This 545-nucleotide unclassified non-coding RNA is filed under the name Hevea brasiliensis (rubber tree). Lineage: Eukaryota; Viridiplantae; Streptophyta; Magnoliopsida; Malpighiales; Euphorbiaceae. The record is from RNAcentral.
AAAGACCAUCUUCCGAUUCUUCUCCACCGACCCAUUCAACUCCUUUACCAUGACUCGCGGAAAUCAGAGGGAAAAGGAUCGGGAAAGAGCUGCAGCUCGUGCUGGUAAAAGCAAGAAGGGAGCUGAUGAUGGUUUGACUCCUGAGCAGCGCCGUGAAAGGGAUGCGAAAGCUCUGCAAGAGAAGGCUGCAAAGAAAGCAGCAAAAGAGGCUGCCGGAGGUAGCAAUGCUGGAACUAAGGAUACCAAGAAAUAGAAAGCUAGGUGUUGUGUACUUCAUUGCAGUCAGUAAUUUGUCAUUCCCCUUUGUUUGUCAUGUUAUUCACUGUUUAAAUCUUGUGAUGCACUACAACUUAAUACGUCUGAAUUGUCAAUCCAUUCGGUUUUGAACUAUCUCGUCUUUCUUUUGAUAUGAUAAACUCCACCCCCAAAUCACCUGUGUUUCAGUUGUUGCAAUACUUAUGUCAAUUGUGCUGAUAUAGAGUUGUAAUGCACCUUGUGCGUAGAAUUUUAUGCAAUGGCAAAGGCAGGGUAAAUGUGAUAUCGAU